AUUGAACGCUGGCGGCAUGCCUUACACAUGCAAGUCGAACGGCAGCACGGGUGCUUGCACCUGGUGGCGAGUGGCGAACGGGUGAGUAAUACAUCGGAACAUGUCCUGUAGUGGGGGAUAGCCCGGCGAAAGCCGGAUUAAUACCGCAUACGAUCUACUGAUGAAAGCGGGGGACCUUCGGGCCUCGCGCUAUAGGGUUGGCCGGUGGCGGAUUCGCUAGUUGGUGAGGUAAAGGCCUACCAAGGCAACGAUGAGUAGCGGAUCUGAGAGGGCGACCGGCCAGAGUGGAACGGAGACAGGGUCAAGACUCCUACGGGAGGCAGCAGUAGGGAAGCUGCAGAGAUGGGCGAAAGCCUGACGGAGCAAGGCCGCGGGAGGGAUGAAGGUCGUCGGAUCGUAAAACACUGGUAUGAGGGAAGAACAAAUGGGGAAGGAACUAUGCACGGCUUGACGGUACCUAAUUAGAAAGACACGGCUAACUACGUG
RNAcentral lists this ribosomal RNA (486 nucleotides) under uncultured bacterium. RNAcentral's name for it is "partial 16S ribosomal RNA". It matches the Rfam family "Bacterial small subunit ribosomal RNA", at positions 29 to 507 of the family's 1533-position model. The record is from RNAcentral.